Gasterosteus aculeatus aculeatus (three-spined stickleback) is the source of this 463-nucleotide long non-coding RNA. Lineage: Eukaryota; Metazoa; Chordata; Actinopteri; Perciformes; Gasterosteidae. The record is from Ensembl.
GGAAGAUGAUUGAGAGCCGAGUAGCCGGUACAGAGCCAGUCCUGAUGCAGAUCUCUUUACGUUACAGAGUGAUGCAUCCUAAGGUUAGAGACCUCUUUAUGAUGGUCUUUAUAGAUGUGAACUAGCACUGUGCUUACACAGCAAAUUGAGCAGAGUUAAAUUUCUGGUGUUGAUAAAGAUAGAGUCAAUCGAACUCUAUUUGGAAUUGAUCUAAAUCUUCUCUCAGCUCGGGUGUAAGGAGUGACUACCCUCUGGCAUCGCGCGAACAAUAAUCUCGUGAGAGCAACAAUCUGGCGGGAUUCAAGUAAUUUACCUGCACAACUCAACUGGAACGCAACGAGCAGCACAACGUUUUCGAGGACAGUUUGUUCAAAAUUGAAGAAAACGUGUUGCAUUGUGUCGGAAAUGUUGGCUAAAGUGGAGAUUGGAGGGGUCCUAAAAUACGUGAAAAUUCCAGAGACUG